AACGAACGCUGGCGGCAUGCCUAACACAUGCAAGUCGAACGAGACCUUCGGGUCUAGUGGCGCACGGGUGCGUAACGCGUGGGAAUCUGCCCUUGGGUUCGGAAUAACAGUUGGAAACGACUGCUAAUACCGGAUGAUGACGUAAGUCCAAAGAUUUAUCGCCCAAGGAUGAGCCCGCGUAGGAUUAGCUAGUUGGUGAGGUAAAGGCUCACCAAGGCGACGAUCCUUAGCUGGUCUGAGAGGAUGAUCAGCCACACUGGGACUGAGACACGGCCCAGACUCCUACGGGAGGCAGCAGUGGGGAAUAUUGGACAAUGGGCGAAAGCCUGAUCCAGCAAUGCCGCGUGAGUGAUGAAGGCCUUAGGGUUGUAAAGCUCUUCUACCCGGGAUGAUAAUGACAGUACCGGGAGAAUAAGCUCCGGCUAACUCCGUG
This 433-nucleotide ribosomal RNA is filed under the name uncultured bacterium. Its description in RNAcentral is "partial 16S ribosomal RNA". It matches the Rfam family "Bacterial small subunit ribosomal RNA", at positions 29 to 507 of the family's 1533-position model. The record is from RNAcentral.